AUUGAACGCUGGCGGCAGGCCUAACACAUGCAAGUCGAACGGUAACAGGAAGAAGCUUGCUUCUUUGCUGACGAGUGGCGGACGGGUGAGUAAUGUCUGGGAAACUGCCUGAUGGAGGGGGAUAACUACUGGAAACGGUAGCUAAUACCGCAUAACGUCGCAAGACCAAAGAGGGGGACCUUCGGGCCUCUUGCCAUCGGAUGUGCCCAGAUGGGAUUAGCUAGUAGGUGGGGUAACGGCUCACCUAGGCGACGAUCCCUAGCUGGUCUGAGAGGAUGACCAGCCACACUGGAUCUGAGACACGGUCCAGACUCCUACGGGAGGCAGCAGUGGGGAAUAUUGCACAAUGGGCGCAAGCCUGAUGCAGCCAUGCCGCGUGUAUGAAGAAGGCCUUCGGGUUGUAAAGUACUUUCAGCGGGGAGGAAGGGAGUAAAGUUAAUACCUUUGCUCAUUGACGUUACCCGCAGAAGAAGCACCGGCUAACUCCGUG
This 490-nucleotide ribosomal RNA is filed under the name uncultured bacterium. RNAcentral describes it as "partial 16S ribosomal RNA". It matches the Rfam family "Bacterial small subunit ribosomal RNA", at positions 30 to 507 of the family's 1533-position model. The record is from RNAcentral.